GAUGAACGCUGGCGGCGUGCCUAAUACAUGCAAGUCGAGCGAACAGACGAGGAGCUUGCUCCUCUGACGUUAGCGGCGGACGGGUGAGUAACACGUGGAUAACCUACCUAUAAGACUGGGAUAACUUCGGGAAACCGGAGCUAAUACCGGAUAAUAUAUUGAACCGCAUGGUUCAAUAGUGAAAGACGGUUUUGCUGUCACUUAUAGAUGGAUCCGCGCCGCAUUAGCUAGUUGGUAAGGUAACGGCUUACCAAGGCGACGAUGCGUAGCCGACCUGAGAGGGUGAUCGGCCACACUGGAACUGAGACAUGGUCCAGACUCCUACGGGAGGCAGCAGUAGGGAAUCUUCCGCAAUGGGCGAAAGCCUGACGGAGCAACGCCGUGUGAGUGAUGAAGGUCUUCGGAUCGUAAAACUCUGUUAUUAGGGAAGAACAAAUGUGUAAGUAACUAUGCACGUCUUGACGGUACCUAAUCAGAAAGCCACGGCUAACUACGUG
RNAcentral lists this ribosomal RNA (497 nucleotides) under uncultured bacterium. Its description in RNAcentral is "partial 16S ribosomal RNA". It matches the Rfam family "Bacterial small subunit ribosomal RNA", at positions 28 to 507 of the family's 1533-position model. The record is from RNAcentral.